UGGGGAAUAUUGGACAAUGGGCGAAAGCCUGAUCCAGCCAUGCCGCGUGAGUGAAGAAGGCCCUAGGGUUGUAAAGCUCUUUCACCGGCGAAGAUAAUGACGGUAACCGGAGAAGAAGCCCCGGCUAACUUCGUGCCAGCAGCCGCGGUAAUACGAAGGGGGCUAGCGUUGUUCGGAAUCACUGGGCGUAAAGAGCGUGUAGGCGGAUAGCCAAGCUAGGGGUGAAAGCCCGGGGCUCAACCCCGGAACUGCCUCUGGAACUGGCUAGCUGGAGUCUUGGAGGGGAGUGCGGAAUUCCUAAUGUAGAGGUGAAAUUCGUAGAGAUUAGGAGGAACACCAGUGGCGAAGGCGGCACUCUGGACAAGUACUGACGCUGAGACGCGAAAGCGUGGGGAGCAAACA
Molecule: ribosomal RNA, 402 nt
Filed under: uncultured bacterium
Lineage: Bacteria
Description: bacterial SSU rRNA
Rfam family: Bacterial small subunit ribosomal RNA
Source: RNAcentral